This 242-nucleotide non-coding RNA is filed under the name Reticulomyxa filosa. RNAcentral describes it as "Bacterial large subunit ribosomal RNA". It matches the Rfam family "Bacterial large subunit ribosomal RNA", at positions 2688 to 2925 of the family's 2925-position model. Lineage: Eukaryota; Foraminifera; Reticulomyxidae. The record is from Rfam by way of RNAcentral.
AGGACCGGAGUGGACGCACCUCUGGUGUAUCGGUUGUCACGCCAGUGGCAUUGCCGAGUAGCUAAGUGCGGAAGAGAUAACCGCUGAAAGCAUCUAAGCGGGAAACUCGUCUCAAGAUGAGUCUUGCCGGGGCCUAGAGCCCCCUGAAGGGUCGUUCGAGACCAGGACGUUGAUAGGCUGGGUGUGGAAGCGCAGUAAUGCGUUAAGCUAACCAGUACUAAUUGCCCGUGAGGCUUGACCCU